This 301-nucleotide ribosomal RNA is filed under the name uncultured bacterium. RNAcentral describes it as "partial 16S ribosomal RNA". It matches the Rfam family "Bacterial small subunit ribosomal RNA", at positions 509 to 808 of the family's 1533-position model. The record is from RNAcentral.
CAGUACCACGGGAAUACAGAGGGUGCGAGCGUUAAUCGGAUUUACUGGGCGUAAAGCGUGCGUAGGCGGCUUCUUAAGUCGGAUGUGAAAUCCCUGAGCUUAACUUAGGAAUUGCAUUCGAUACUGGGAAGCUAGAGUAUGGGAGAGGAUGGUAGAAUUCCAGGUGUAGCGGUGAAAUGCGUAGAGAUCUGGAGGAAUACCGAUGGCGAAGGCAGCCAUCUGGCCUAAUACUGACGCUGAGGUACGAAAGCAUGGGGAGCAAACAGGAUUAGAUACCCCUGUAGUCCCUGUCUCUUAUACA